RNAcentral lists this ribosomal RNA (465 nucleotides) under uncultured bacterium. RNAcentral's name for it is "partial 16S ribosomal RNA". It matches the Rfam family "Bacterial small subunit ribosomal RNA", at positions 28 to 507 of the family's 1533-position model. The record is from RNAcentral.
GACGAACGCUGGCGGCGUGCUUAACACAUGCAAGUCGAACGGAAAGGCCCCUUUGGGGGUACUCGAGUGGCGAACGGGUGAGUAACACGUGAGUAACCUGCCCUUGACUUCGGGAUAACUUCAGGAAACUGGGGCUAAUACCGGAUAGGAAUCCUUGCUGCAUGGUGGGGGUUGGAAAGCUUCGGCGGUUUUGGAUGGACUCGCGGCUUAUCAGCUUGUUGGUGGGGUAGUGGCUUACCAAGGCUUUGACGGGUAGCCGGCCUGGGAGGGCGACCGGCCACAUUGGGACUGAGAUGCGGCCCAGACUCCUACGGGAGGCAGCAGUGGGGAAGAUUGCACAAUGGGCGGAAGCCUGAUGCAGCAACGCCGCGUGCGGGAUGACGGCCUUCGGGUUGUAAACCGCUUUCAGCAGGGGCGAAGCUUGUGGUGACGGUACCUGCAGAAGAAGCACCGGCUAACUACGUG